GAACUUAAGCAUAUCAAUAAGCGGAGGAAAAGAAACCAACAGGGAUUACCUCAGUAACGGCGAGUGAAGCGGUAAUAGCUCAAAUUUGAAAUCUGGCUCUUUCAGGGUCCGAAUUGUAAUUUGUAGAAGAUGCUUCGAGUGUAGCUCCGGUCUAAGUUCCUUGGAACAGGACGUCAUAGAGGGUGAGAAUCCCGUAUGUGACUGGUGGCUUUCGCUCAUGUGAAGCUCUUUCGACGAGUCGAGUUGUUUGGGAAUGCAGCUCAAAAUGGGUGGUAUAUUUCAUCUAAAGCUAAAUAUUGGCCAGAGACCGAUAGCGCACAAGUAGAGUGAUCGAAAGAUGAAAAGCACUUUGGAAAGAGAGUUAAACAGUACGUGAAAUUGUUGAAAGGGAAGCGCUUGCAACCAGACUUGCACGCUGUUAAUCAUCAGGAGUUCUCUCCUGUGCACUUAGCAGUGUUCAGGCCAGCAUCGAUUUUGGUGGUUGGAUAAAGACCUUAGGAAUGUGGCAUCUUUCGGGGUGUGUUAUAGCCUUCGGUGCAAUGCAGCCAACUGGGAUCGAGGACCGCGCUUCGGCUAGGAUGCUGGCGUAAUGGUUGUAAGCGACCCGUCUUGAAACACGGACCAAGGAGUCUAACAUCUAUGCGAGUGUUUGGGUGUUAAACCCAUACGCGGAAUGAAAGUGAACGGAGGUAAGAACCCUUAAGGGUGCAUUAUCGACCGAUCCUGAUGUCUUCGGAUGGAUUUGAGUAAGAGCAUAGCUGUUGGGACCCGAAAGAUGGUGAACUAUGCGUGAAUAGGGUGAAGCCAGAGGAAACUCUGGUGGAGGCUCGCAGCGGUUCUGACGUGCAAAUCGAUCGUCAAAUUUGCGCAUAGGGGCGAAAGACUAAUCGAACUAUCUAGUAGCUGGUUCCUGCCGAAGUUUCCCUAGGG
RNAcentral lists this ribosomal RNA (930 nucleotides) under Mitrula elegans. RNAcentral's name for it is "eukaryotic LSU rRNA". It matches the Rfam family "Eukaryotic large subunit ribosomal RNA", at positions 30 to 977 of the family's 3401-position model. Lineage: Eukaryota; Fungi; Ascomycota; Leotiomycetes; Helotiales; Mitrulaceae. The record is from RNAcentral.